CAAUAGCGUAUAUUUAAGUUGUUGCAGUUAAAAAGCUCGUAGUUGGAUUUCGGGUGGGACGCAGCGGUCUCGCAUUGCGUUUGCACUGCUGCAGCCCUCCUUCUUGCCGGGGGCGGCCUCUCGGACUUCACUGUCUGGGGGUCAGAAUCGGCGAUGUUACUUUGAGUAAAUUAGAGUGUUCAAAGCAAGCUUACGCUCUGAAUAUAAUAGCAUGGGAUAACACGACAGGACUCUGGCCUAUCGUGUUGGUCUAUAGGACCAGAGUAAUGAUUAAGAGGGACAGUCGGGGGCAUUCGUAUUCCGUUGUCAGAGGUGAAAUUCUUGGAUUUACGGAAGACGAACAUCUGCGAAAGCAUUUGCCAAGGAUGUUUUCAUUG
RNAcentral lists this ribosomal RNA (377 nucleotides) under uncultured eukaryote. RNAcentral's name for it is "partial 18S ribosomal RNA". It matches the Rfam family "Eukaryotic small subunit ribosomal RNA", at positions 592 to 975 of the family's 1831-position model. The record is from RNAcentral.